This 16671-nucleotide long non-coding RNA is filed under the name Coffea arabica (coffee). Its description in RNAcentral is "long non-coding RNA (CARA_LNC002451)". Lineage: Eukaryota; Viridiplantae; Streptophyta; Magnoliopsida; Gentianales; Rubiaceae. The record is from RNAcentral.
AGUACUGCAGAUAUGGAGGUGAAUAGUGAGGUUAAUCCAAAUAAAAGCUUCCUUGGCAAACUCUUUUUGAAGUCCUUUUUCUGGCAUCUUGAGGUAAGGAUAGCUAGAAAAAACACCAGGGCAGUCACAGAGAAGCAGAGAGCAACAAGUGAAGCAACAGAAAAAACAUUGAAUGCAGGUUGUUUUUCGAGAACUGGAUGACCAGACUUUUGAUCAGGACCACCUGGAAUUGUUGAUGAGGUAGCAAAUGCCACUGUUGCAAUGAGUGCUGCCACCAGAGAGCAUGAUUCGGAGGUUUUGAUCAUCCACUUACUUCCAUCUUUUACUAGUUUUUCAUGUGUCUUCAUGAAAAUUUUUCCUGCAGUCUCACCUUUCUUGUUGUACUGGAUGAAACAUUGUGGCGGCAUGGAGUGCUUGACAUGCUGCAUUAGCAAACAACCUCUGUUAAUCUCUGGAUGUUAGAUGUUUAAGCCACACAUGUAUGUUUUGAAGAAAGGUCUGAAUAGGAGAAAACAUAUCACGCCAAAAACAAUAGACUAAAAAAUGUACUAGCGCAAUGCUUAAGAGAAAAACUAGAUUUUGAAGUUCUUUUAUCUAUGGCAGUAAAGAGGGGCAAUCAUUGGAAACUAACUUCCUCUCGGAUGCAUUUAUGAAAAAAAAUUUAAAACAGCAGCCAAAUGUUUGUAUGCCUAAUUGAGAAAUAUUUACAAAACAAUUAUUAUGUACCCAGAGAUUAACAGAAUACACAACAAUAUACUUUGAGUUAAUGUGAGAUGGUUACCACAUUCUACAAAGGAAGAUCUUAUAAUAUUAUAUGAACAAAACAAGAACAUAAAGCCAAUGAUGAAGUUGUCACAUUAUGAUUUUAGCUAGGGAUUAUCAGGGCAUAUUCUCAGCUUGGAAAAAUUAGCUAAUAUACAUAUACCUUAUACCACUUGAUUUCCCACUGCAUCUGCAAUGCAGCACCUGGAAUUCGCCAAGGUUGGUGUUCUUGGAACUUAGCAGCCAGAUGCAACGCACUAUUUCCUUCAUUAUCAACUUGAUAAAGCACAAACUCGGGGAGUUUCAUCAUCAUUAGCAAAUCAAAUACCUUGUUUUGCCUGUUCUCAACGGCUAAGAGCAGGGCAUUCUUCUCAUUUGCAUCCAAGUCUUGAAUGGCAACAGGAAAGGUUUCCAGGAUUUUUUUUACGACUUCUGUUACACCCAUCUUUGCUGCAAGUAGUAUUGGUGUCUCCUUCUUAACAUCCUUGGUUGUGGGAUCUGAUACAGUUACGUAAUUUGUCAGUGGAUCAAUUAGUGUCUAUAUCUGAAAUUUGCUUUUAUGAGCUUUCAUGUUUCAUGCUAUCUCUUACCUUGCAUCUUAGCGAGGUUAACUGUCAAGAGCAGGGCAUUCUUGGCAUUCGCAUCCAAAUCUUGAAUGAUCGCCGGAAAGGUUUCCAGGAUUUUUUUCACCGUUUCUUUUAUAUCCAUGUUUGCUGCUACUAUUCGUGUCUCCUUAACAUCCUUUGUUUGGGCAUCUGAUACAAGUACGUCAUUUGUGAGUGGAAUAAUUGAUACCCAUCCCUGUAAUUUGCCUCGUAAGAUCUACCUGUUCAAGCUAUGUUCUUUCCUUGCCUAUUGGCUACUUAAGCAUGCUACUCACAUUUAGUACAGAGAGACUAAUUAACAGAAUACACAAAGUGAACUGGAGAUGGUUACCGCAUUCUAAAAAGGAAGUUCUAAUAAUAAAAGAAUGAAUCAAGAACGUAAAGCCAAUGAAGUUGUCAUAGAUUGAUUUCAGUCAGGUAUUAUCAGAACGUAAUCUCAGCUUGGAACAAUUGACUAAGGACUAAUAUGUACCUUAAACCACUUGAGUUCCCACUGCAUCUGCAAUGCGGUACCUGGAAUUCGCCAAGGUUUAUGCUCUUGAAACUUGGCAGCGAGAUGCAUUGCACUGUUUCCUUCAUUGUCAAUUUGAUAAAGCACAAAUUCCGGGAGUUUCAUUGUCAUUAAUAAAUCAAAUACCUUGAUUUGCCUGUUCUCAACGGUCAAGAGCAGGGCAUUCUUCCCAUUUGCAUCCAAGUCUUGAAUGGCCACUGGAAAGGUUUUCAGGAUUUUUUCCACCAUUUCUGAUAUACCCAUCUUUGCUGCAAGUAAUAUUGAUGUCUCCUUAGCGUCCUUGGGGUUGGCUUCUGGUACAGGUAUGUCAUGUCAGUGGAUUAAUUGGCAUCCAUCAGCUUCAAGCUAAAUUCUUAUCUUACCUAUCAGCUACUUUGAUGUGCUACUAAGAUUUUAUGCUAACUUGCUUCAGCACAAGUGUGUGCAAUCUAAAGUAGAGUUGCUUAAGACAUUUAUUUUAUGGAAGAAAUCAUCUUGGGAAGAAAUCACCAUGGAAGGUGAGGCAGAGAGGACCUAGAAGUAUAACUUCAUUGUAACACAUCAUUAUUUCUUAAUUUCAAAUUAGAGAGUCAAUUUUCUUGAGGCUAACUCUCAACAUGGUUCAUAUCUUACUAUUCAUGUUUGCAUAAAUUGACCACCGAAGAUGUUGGAAGCAUGAACCAUUGUCCUGUAUGACUAACUAAGGUAGAUUACAGAAAGAGGGAACUAUAUUUUAUCUGCACCUUACCUUCUUGGAACAAGCAACCUUUACCUUUAUGACUUCACCAUCGAGUAAUGACAUUCGCAGACCAUAUUUAGCUUCAUAUGCACACUUUAAAUGCUCUUUAGGCCAAAUGACAAGCAUGCACAACAAGGGUAAAAGAUGCUGCCAAUAUAAUUGCCCUUACCAAUACAACUAAAGCAGACAAAUAUCAUGUAAAUUUUAGAUAUUACAGUCGAGUCUCUUCUAAAUUUUAGUUGUUCACGUGAGGUGGACAGAGCUAAACUGUUAUCUCGAAACCAUACCUGGUUUACUCUCAAUUUUGUUUUUCUUGUCUUUGGAUUUGCUUGCAGGGAUGUUGUCUUUCGAGCUUGAAGGAGUAUCAGGUGUUUCUGGUGCUGCUUUUGGAACGACAAAUCUUCCUUCAUACAUCGGUUCUGCAGCAUUUAUGGGAUUUUGCCCAUCGUGACUGUACUUAUAUCGUGAUUCUUUCUCAAUCAAUUUAUCCAUCAUCCGAACAGCCCUAUUGUGCCUCUGUUUCUUCUCCGCAAUCUUGCUGAUCUUCCAAAUGCCUGGAUGCGUGAAAACAUUUGUGCAGAUCAACCAAACAUUGUUAGAGAUGGAAAACCAAUCUGUUGCAUAAUGUGAUUAGUCGAUACCUGAUGAUUAGACUUACCAAGACAGAUGGAAAUUUCCUAAAACGCAUUUUUUUUUUUUUUUGGAAUUUGGUUAAAUGUUCAGGAACAAACAAGAUUUUGUUCCUUUGAGCCGAAACUAUCCCAGCGAUUUCUGAAUAGCAUUGAAACUUUGUAAUUGACUAUGAACUGAUACAAUAUAAAUUCAACUCAGCUGAUAUAUGACACUCAAAACAAAACAAAACAGCUUUAAAUUGAAUGGAAAGAGCUGUAUUUCUUUUUACAUGUUACAAGCAUAAAUACCCCUACAAACUACAACUAUGCCUUUGCUAUGUCUUGCUUUGCUUUUCUUCUUUCUCAGUUUGAGGCAGGGAAAGAAGCUAUCCAGAAAAAUAUGGUACUAGAAGUAAAUACGGAUGAAAGAAAAUUCCAUAUCACAGGACUAGAAUUAACUGUAGAGCGACGCUUACCGAUUCCGAAAAUAAUUAGUGCAAGGUUGAUUGCAAAUUUGAACAACUGAAUGCAGGUAGCAUAGUUAGGUGGAAACGUGUUCUCAUCAUUGAGCUCUUUUCCUGCUUGUUUGAAAUUGGCAAGUGGUUAGUUUAGAGAACAAAUUACGAGCUAUAUAAUCAUGUACCUGCAUUAACAUGUAUAGCAUGGUAUGACAUCACUUCCAGCCUACAUUUUUCACAAUUCUUUGUAAGCUAUUCUAUAAUUGCUCAUGUGGAACAUACAUGUUUAGAAAAGAUUAAAUAAUUUAGGUUGAUAAUCUGCCAAAUUGUUUUGUAGUCCUCUUCCUAAAUCAGAAGCAGCCAAAGGCCAAAUACUUCUAAAAUUAGUGUACUCCUGAACGUUUUGUCGCAACAUUAGCACAAAGCCAAAAGCAAUAUAUUCAUGGAUGAUAAUAAUUGUGCAAUGUGAACAUAGUCGUAGGAAUCCAGAACGCUGAUAGGUACAAUUAGACCUGAACACAGUAUCACAAAAAUUUGGCCUUGUGUAAAGAUGGAUAAGUUCUUGAGAUCCCUGAUAUCUUUCAGGCAAGUGACUCAGAUGAAAUGAGUAAUUCAUGAAGAAAAGAGUGAACUUGUUUAAAACCAUGUCAACCUGAGAUAAAUAUUCAAGGAGAAUUGGGUCAUCUAGGAGAUGUGAAAAGCAAAAGAAAAAUAUUAGCCCUUGAUUCUGAGGUUAAAAGGAUUAUGUCAAUUCAUAUGGGCACAAAUACCAGACUCCCCUCUCCUAGCUUAAUGUUUUAGAAUGAUUUGAAAUCAAAAUGGUAAAAGAAACCCUUAGGUUCCAUCAACACACAAUAUCCCUGAAAGUACAAGGACUCCUGUGUAGAAGCAUUAGCUGUUAUAACAAUUCUCUAUAGUAUUUGAACAACAAAUGAAAGUGCUAUAUUUUUGUUUCAAUGAAUCUCUUAGGAAUUGUGAUAUACCUUCUCUCUUUACAUAAAGUUGCACCUCUAUUUUUUUAAAAUAAUUUUAAACAUGAGAGUAUGUGCCCAAUUCACAUGUUCAUAAUUUCGUUAGAUAUAUAGUGGCUAAAUUGCUAAAAGUUUUAUUUUAUUUAAUGGCUCUCCAGAAGAUAAUGCAUCCUGUAAGUUGAGCUGCAAUGAAUUUAAACAACUGGGGAGGACACGAGGCUGACAGAGCAAACCAGUCUAUACCAUCUUCACAGUUCGCACCCUUCCAUAGAUACCCUAGUGGCCACAAAUGAGUACAUAAUGUUUUCCUUUUUGAAAGUAAGUACCAGAUGCACUGAUGCAGAUCCUUUUAGUAGUUAAGCAAAACAGAGGUAAAAUAUAUUAGACAAGCAACUCAUAAGGGUGUUGAACUCCGUGUUACUGUUACUGUGGUAUGCGUCUAGCAUCUUAGUAAUUUAGAAGUUCUUAGCAUGAUAUUUUUGUGCGGAAAUCAGGUAGCUGAUCGCAUUGCAUACAACAAGGCAUGGAGAAGUUGAGCCUCAGAAAAUAUUCCCUUAGGCUACUGAUGCUACGAGGUUUUAAUGGUUUUUUUGUUACUUUUUGUUGUUAUACUGUACUUAUUUCUUCCAUUAUUCAAAAUUUACUUCCCUCCGUGUUCUGCAUGUCAUAAGGUUUAGAUUUGUUAAGCAAAAGCAAGUUCAAACAAUUCCAAAACUGCAGGAAAUCAGUAAAGGCAUAGUAGAGACCUUGAUUUCCCUCUAUUGGAAUUUCUCUGUCUUCUGUACUGCCCGGUUGUCUGGAAUCAGAAUCUUCUCCACGAGAAGCUGGAAACAAGUAUUGCUCCAUUAAGAAGUUGUCAGAAGUUAAAGUAGAGUGUGAGAUGUGGUUAUCAAACGUACCAACUAUCCUGAUUACAGUCCAAGCUAGAUAAAGGAAUUUUCCACUUGUCUGGUAGUUAGUUAUCCGGAUAAUUAAUACCACGAGUAGUGAGCUAGCAAUGGAAUUCUGUAAGGUUUUGUUUUUACACUGUGCUAUUUUCUUCCAAUUCAAAAUCUAUUUGAUGAAGUCUAGAUUCUUUUACCAAAAACAAGUUCAAACAAUUUUGCUCGAAGAAAAGUUCAAACAUUUUAAAAACUUCGGAAAUAAGUAAACUUUAAGUGUUACUUUUGUUAACUUUUGUUGUUAUACUGUGCUAUUUUCUUCCAUGAUUCAAAAUUUUUAAGUGUUACUUUUCUCGAUGUUCUGCAUUUGAUGAAGUCUAGAUUCUUUAAUUUACCAAAACAAUUUGAAAACUGCAGGAAGUAACUAAAGGCAUAGUAGAGACCUUGACCUUCCAUUUUUCCCUCUUCUGGAUCUGCUGUACCUGGACCUUGACCUUGAUCUUGACCUUUCCCAAGAGGAGCUGGAAACAAGUAUUUGUCCAUUUAGAAGUGGCCAGAAGUCAACGUAGAGUGUGAGAUUGGUUAUCAAACCUACCAAUUAGCCAGAAUGCAGUCGAAAUUAGACGAAUGAAGUUCACACACGUCUGGUAGUUCUUGGGAUAGUGCUCUCCGGUCGCCUCUAAACUUCUCCGGUCUCCUCUUCUGGAUUGACGGUUCUUAACCUCAGGGACAUAUACACCUUGCAAACAAAUACAGUUGCACUUCGGUGAAAGUCAAAUUGAGGAGAUAUUUAGAUGAACAAAGGAAAGAUGAAUGAUAAACCAUACAUUCAACCGUAUAUGUAAAAUAUUCUUCCUCUAGAAAAGUGGUUUAAAAUCACCAACUCUGCGUGAAAUUACAAGAAAGAUUUGAUGAUAUCUCAAAAUGACAAAUGUUUCGGGACCUUUGAAUAUCAUAUAUUGGAGAAACUGGAAAAUAAUACCCGGAAAAUCUUUUUAAAAUGAUAGCUGAAGAAAAGAAUAGGAAGGAAAAGAUUAAGCUAUAGUUAAAUUUUGAGAUUUUGGCAAAGUCAGAUAAUGCAAUGGUCUAGAGGAAAGAUAAAGGCAGCAUGUUAGAAGCAACGUACAUAGGCAAACAGCCUCCUACCAAAAAAAAAAAAAAAGAUCAUAGAUGCUUUAGCUGAAGAGAUGUUUAAAUUUCUAAAAUCUUCCCGAUAGACAUUCUUACAGCGAUAGAGCAUUCGAUCACAGAGUCGAAGAUUGCUGCUGCUCUCAAAUACAUUUGGCUUCCUGGCUAGGAUGUGGAGAGGAGAAAAGCCUUCCUCAUUGACAGAAUUGACAAGCUUGCGGUAUUUGAUACUUAUCAGGUCUGCCAAUGCUGUAAUGGAGAAAAUUGUUGAGAUCCCAUUUGAUUCUUAGAUGAUAUAAAUUUAUGCACUUUGAGUCUUUGAGUGAAAAGGAAGCAUGACUUGCAUAAUUCUUACCAAAGUAUUCCCCAGAUAUGGCAGAGUGCAGAAUGGUAUCCCCAUCAUUCCUUCUACCGAGUGAAUAAUCUGGUUCGCUUGCAUUCCCAUUGUAGAGCUGAUGAAGCAGUUGAAAAGCUUCCAUAUGGCCGUGAUGAGCUGCCAAGAACAUUGGUGUUUCGCCCUUCCGAUUGCGGAUCAUGAUGAGCUCGCGAUAAAUCUGAUUGCGGUUCCUGGCUAUACAAUCACAGAUUGUGACACUGCCAAGUGCUGCAGCUAGAUGGAGAGCUGUGUCUCCUUUGUCGUUUUGCGCUUUAAGGAUCUCGACUGCCUGGCCCACUGGUAGUGAUUCUACCAGUUGCCCUAUGGUUGCUGCAAGUGCAUGAGCUUCCUUUUCACCUACAUGGUAACUUGAGACAGCAAUGUGCAGAGCUGUCUCUUCUGAUUUAGUUAGCUUAGCGUUGCAAGCAGCCGAAGGGUAGCUCUUGCAUAUUCUCAGCACUUCCUUCCAAUUUUUCUUCAUGGUAAAUUGAAAUAAUUCAUCUACAUCAAAUUUUUGAGCCUCUAAUUGUUUGUUGUUCCUCAUUUUCUUCCAGGUGUGCUCUUUCUUGUCACUUGUGAUUCCUCAUAUCAUCUAUAUAAUGUCUUAGAGCUCUAGCAUUGUAACGUAUGCAAGAAAAAGAAAAAGGCCCACCAAAACCCUUUUUUUGAUUUCUGGAAACCUUCUUUUCUUUUGUCGUUUCUAAGUUUCCGAGGAUCAGUUUGAAACUAUUUUCUCUUUUGUCUUUUCCAAGUUUCUGAGGAUCAAUUUGGAACUGCUUUCUCCGGAACUCUCUCUAGUUUUGAAUGGCUUCGACAUCAUUAUUCCUUUUUUCUUUGGCUUAUUCUUCGAAUAAAUAAAUAAAUAAAUAAACAAAACACACAGUUCUGUUGCAGUUAAUAUAGAUUGGUACAAGAAGGAAGAUAGGAAGGCCAUAGGCAAUUAGUCCCUACUAAUGCAUUGCAUAAGAAUAAGCAAACAAAUGUACAUUUUAGGUAGUAAACCAACCCUUGCCUUACAAUCAAAUCAUACCAAAGUUUAAUCACAUCUAUAUCUUCAUUUGAUUCGUAGGUAUCUUCAUUUGAUCCGAUCAUAAAAUUUCAAUUCAACUACAAUACUUUGUGUAUAAUCUGGAUGGAUUCUUUUCUUGUUUGCAUAAUGUAGCUUUUUACCACUUGAUUUAUCUGACCUUUUUCUCCCCAUUUCACUGUGUAUAAAGAAGACCCGUUAUCCAUGACUUGAUGCUGAACGAAGGCAUACUCAACUAGAAUCUUAAAAAAAAAAAAAGGAUGAAGACCAAUUAGUAUUCGAAUCACAAAAUUGAUUGGUCUUUUUCAAGUAUCACUGGCACUCAUCUAAAGAAACUUUCAAAAUUUCUGAAACUUUUUUAGUACUCAACCAGGAAGUAGAGGAUUAUUUAUGCAGAGUUCAAAAAUAUUGUCCAUGAAGCAUGGUAUUUACUAGUAACUAACUCUCACAAGAGAACCAAAUAUCCUCUCAACUUUUUUAAUACAGAAGCAAAGCCGUGCAGUAAAGUUGAUAACUUGAUACUAACUCAUAUUGUACUUCAGAUGAUUCUUUGGAGCUCACUAGAGCAAGUCAUUUGCUCCCCUUGUCUCACCUGCAGUUUUGCUUCAUUUCUUCUGUCUUCCCCACGUCAACGAUUUUUGUUUUUUUUUUUUUUGGCUUUUGUAACAAAAAAAGAUAUGUGUCACAACACUGGUGGAGCAAUCAAUUAUUUACCGGGAAAUUAUCUAAUCCACUUUCUUCCUAGCAGUAAAUGAAACGCAUCGAAUCAUCUAGUUAUUUUUUGGCAACUCAUUCAUCAAUUCAAGUAAUUUGCCGGCUAAAAGAGUGAUGGAGGUGUUUUUUGGAAUCAGUGGUAUGUAGACAGGCUUGUAUGGUCCUGGAAUGUGAAUGUAUCAUCCUUAAGGACUAAUGGAAAAUGUACAACCUAUAAAUCUAACAUUGGGUGUGGGAGAUGAUCUUGGUCCUUCUGUUCUGCAAGGAAUAUUCACUCAUUGCAUUGUAGCCGUGACAUUGGCCAUAUUAGCGGGGUGAUUCCAUCUUGGUGUCCACCAGCCACAACUUUCUAAUCGUUCUUUGAGGUUACUUGUCCACAACAAAUCAGUUGCUAGGAGAAUGCAAAGUAAUGUUAAGCAGUCAGUUGUUUAUAGGUUAGCCAGAAGUUUCACCAUCCUUCAUAUGUGACUUUCAGACUUGUAUAUAGCUGACAAACAUAUGCCCUUUGCUAUUUUGAGUAUUCUCUUUCGACCAUGGUUCAAAGGAGUGGUCGCGGUCUGUUGUGGUACAGAACCUAAAAAUGGUGUUUGGUGAGAAAUGUAUGUACUCAAAUGAUAAGAACACGAAUUAUACUCAAGCUGAAUGAAUUCCAGGGACAAUUGAACUUUUAUUGAACAACUUCAACUUGCUUACAGAAAAAGAAAUUGGCGGGAAAAGAAGAAGAUGAGAAAGAAUGCAGGAAGAACUUAAAGAAAGGAUAACAGAAAGGAUAUUCUCCUUCUGAUUACAAUUCAGGAAUUUUCUCUACCAAUAACAAUUGCAUGAUCGUAAUAUUUAUAGUAAUCUAUCCUAACUAACUUGCCCACUAGCUAAUGACAUAGAAAUUGCGUGUGAGUGAAUCUUCUAGAUUCUCCUGUCCACUUGCAGCAAGAAGGACGUGAACCCAGAAUGAGCGUGCUUUCUUGCUCGCGCCUUUGCGGUCUCCUGGCGCCUUCUCCCUUUUUGUUAUCACGCCUUUAUUUACUUCGUGCCCACUUGCUGUCUGAAUUCUUCAAUCCGCGUCUUCUCUUCUUUCCUCUCUGCUUGAUCGCGCUUUCCUUUGUUGCCACUUCACGCCUUUACUCCUUUAUAUCCCUACUUCAUUACAAUACUUCCCCUCCACAGCAAACCUUGACCUCAAGGUUGGAAGGUAGGGAAUUGUCUUUCGAUCUCCUCAGCAUCCUCCCAUGUAGCUUCUGCAGGGUCCGUACCCCACCAGUGGACUAGCCACUGAGUGGCAGCUGCAUUUUUUUUCUUCACCAUUUUCCUAUCCAGUAUGGCAAUAGGCUCCACUCUCCAAUGACCCUUUUCAUUUGUUUCUGGUAAAUGGAGGGUGGGGGUGAUCUUGUCUCCCACCUUUCUUUUGAGCAACGACACAUGGAAGACAGGGUGUACCUUUGAAGAGCUUGGCAGUUCCAGUCUAUAAGCUACAUUUCCUAUUCUUUCCUCCACUUUGUAAGGGCCAAAGUACCUUGCUGAUAACUUGGUGUUCCCUCUCAGGGCCACAGAGCUUUGUCUGUAGGGUUGCAACCGUAGAUACACCCAAUCUCCUUUACUAAAUUCUCGUUCACUCCUCUUCUCAUCAGCAUACCUUUUCAUUCUCUCCUGAGCCUGCUUCAAAUUCUGUUUCAGCAUGUUAUCCAUUUGUUGCCUCUCUCUGAGGUAUUCUCCUACUGCAGCUACCCUGGAUUGCAGGUAAGGUCCCAGAGCCAAUUGGGGAGGGGCUAGACCAUAUAGAGCCUCAAAAGGAGUCAUCUGGAUGGCAGUGUGGUGAGAAGUGUUGUACCACCAUUCUGCCAGAGAUAACCACUGAUUCCACUUUUUUGGUUCCAAAUGAGUCAAGCACCUGAGGUACAUUUCGAGCACCUGGUUCACCCUCUCAGUCUGGCCAUCAGUCUGAGGGUGAUAAGCUGUGUUGUAGUUCAACUUGGCCCCCAAUGAACUGAAUAGUUCUUCCCAGAAUUUACUGACAAAAAUCCUGUCUCUGUCUGAGAGCAUGCUAUAGGGAAUGCCAUGUAGUUUACUGAUGUAAUCAAUGAAGAGUCUGGCCAUUUUUGGAGCAUCAAAAGGAUGGGAUAAACUGAUAAAGUGUGCAUACUUGGUAAACCUAUCUACCACCACCAUAAUAGUAUUCCUUCCUUCUGAUUGGGGUAGUCCUUCAACAAAAUCCAUAGAAAUGUGACUCCAUGAGUGCUGGGGAAUAGGAAGUGGCUGCAGCAAUCCUGGGUAAGCCACAUGUUCAUCUUUACAUUUUCUGCAGGUAUCACAUUCUAGGACUGCCUUCUUGAUUUCCUGGUACAUUCCUGGCCAAUAAAAUAGCUGUUUGGCCCUCAUGUAGCUGGCCUGAAUGCCUGAGUGUCCUCCAACUUGGGAAUCGUGUAGUGCAGUGAUUAACUUCCUUCUGGUAUCACCUUGUCCCCCUACUACUAGCCUCUUCUUGAACCUGAGAAUGCCAUCCUGGUAUGAGUAGUCAGGUGCCAGUGUGGGGGUUAAUAACACCAGAGCUAUGGUCUUCUGAGUCCAUUCAUCCCCCUUGUAACUCUCUAUCACCUCCUGUACCCAGGUUGGCACUGCACAUGAUAUAGCUGUGCACUCCCCUAUUUCUUCCCUGCCCUGUCUAGACAGUGCAUCAGCAGCCAGGUUAUCCUUACCUUUUUUGUAAUGGAUCUCGUAGCUCAACCCCAACAAUUUAGUGAGCCAUUUCUGUUGGAGUGGGGUAGUGAUCCUCUGCUCCAGGAGAUACUUCAGGCUUUGAUGGUCAGUAUGUAUGAUGAAAUGGUGUCCUUCUAAGUAGUGUCUCCAUUUGGUCACAGCUGUCACCAAGGCCAGUAGUUCUUUUUCGUAGAUUGAUAACCCCAUGUUUUUCUGUCCCAGAGCUUGACUGAGGUAGGAGAUAGGUCUUCUAUUCUGCAUUAGCACAGCUCCUAUACCAGUGUAGCAUGCAUCAGUCUCAAUAAUGAAUGGCUGGGUGAAGUCAGGUACUGCUAGAACUGGGGUGCUACACAUGGCCUCUUUCAGUUGCUGGAAAGCCUGCUCUGUGUCUUCACUCCAGUGGAAGUUGUCCUUCUUGAGCAGGUCUGUCAGGGGUCUGGCUAUAGCCCCAUACCCCUUGACCAAUCUCCUAUAGUACCCUGUUAGGCCCAAAAAUCCCCUUAGCUGCUUGAUGUUGGUUGGUCUCGUCCAGUUUUUCAUGCCUUCUAUCUUCUCAGGGUCAGCCUGUACUCCCUCUGCUGAUAUGAUGUGUCCUAAAUAUUCCACCUGUAGCUGAGCAAAAGAACAUUUACUCAUUUUGGCAAAUAACUGGUGUUGCCUCAGAAUACUCAUUACCUCAGUCACAUGCUUCACAUGUGUCUCCAGUGUGGGGCUGUAGACCAGAAUGUCAUCAAAGAAUACCAAUACAUGUUUCCUCAUCUGUUCCUGGAAGACCUGAUUCAUCAGGCUCUGGAAGGUUGCAGGUGCAUUGGUCAAGCCAAAUGGCAUGACCUUGAAUUCAUAGAGUCCUUGAUGAGUCCUGAAAGCUGUUUUUGGUAUGUCUUCCACUUUGACCCUGAUCUGAAAGUAUCCUGCCCUCAGAUCUAUUUUUGUGAAAUACUUGGCCCCAUGCAGUUCAUCUAUUAACUCUUCAAUCAGGGGCAUGAGGAAUUUGUUCUUCACUGUCAGCUCAUUCAACUGCCUGUAGUCUACACAGAACCUCCAUGUCCCAUCUUUUUUCUUAACCAGUAGCACUGGGGAAGCAAAUGGGCUGCUGCUGGGUUGUAUGAUGCCCAGCUCCAGCAUUUCCUUCACCAAUUUCUCAAUUUCUGACUUCUGCACGUAGGGGCACCUGUAUGGUCUCACCUGGAAGGGCCUGGCCCCCUCCUUGAGGACAAUCUGGUGAUCAUGGCUCCUUGUUGGAGGCAUUCCUUUUGGUUCUUCAAAGACGUCCUUGUAUUGAUCUAGCACAUGGUUGAUUUCAAUGGGUAUCUGUCCUGGUCUUUCCUCUUUCCCCACUGUUACCAGUUGUGCUACUACCCCAUAUUCCUGCUUCCUUAGCCAUUUUGCUAGCCUGCCUCCUUUGAACAUUUCCAACUUGGUGCUGCUGUCCUCCCCUAUCAGUAUUAUUUCUUGCUUCCCCUUGAGGAUCUUCAUACUGAGUUCCAUGAAAUUGAACUCUAUAGGGCUGUGUUUGGCCAACCAAUCCACCCCCAGUAUCAUGUCACAUCCCCCCAACCUCAAAGUGUUGAAGGUAUGUUGGAACUGAUGCCCCUGCAUCUCCCACUGCAUAGGCUUAUCCAGUCCCUUGGAGUCCACUUUCUCACCAUUAGCCACAUUGACUAUUAAAGUUGGCCCCUGUGUACACAGUUUCAACUCCUUUGCCAGCUGCUCAUCCAAGAAGCAAUGGGUACUGCCACUAUCAAUCAGUGCAGUGACUUGCCUUUCCUUAACAUGACCCCUCAGCCUUAUCGUUUUGUGCCUUGCUCCUCCUGCCAGGGCAUGAAUUGAUACUUCUAUGUGUUCCCCUGCCAGACCUCCAUUAAUGCAGUCACAGAAAACUUCCUCCUCUGGUUCCCUACCCUUCUCCAUGUCUUCAUCCUCAUCAGCCAACAGUAAAUGUGCAUGGGCUUGUUUGCAAACAUGCCCCAAGGUAUAAGGUUCUGCACAUCUAUAACAUAGCCCCUUUUCCCUCCUGUGAUUGUAUUCUGUGGGGGUUAUUUUUUUAAAUAGGUUCUGGUUGGAAGUGUGCUGAUCAGGGGGUUUGUUGGUGUGUUUGGGGUAGUUUUGGUUCCAUUUGGUGUGGGGUGUAGUCUUGCUGUGGAUUUUUUGGCUAUUGAAACUGGUAUUGACAGGUUUCUGCAUUUUUUGGAUUGCUUUGAGGUUUUUUUCUUGGAGUUUUGCUAUUUCAAUGGCAACAGCUAAGGUUUCAGGUUUAGAUAUUUUCACCAUAUUGACUAUUUCCUCUUUCAGUCCACUCAUAAAACAUGCCUUAUAAUAUGAAUCAGACAAGUGAGGCAGAGAAGGCAUUACCAGGGCUUUGAGCAUUUCGAAUCUCUCCAAGUAUUCAGCCACAGAUCCUGCCUGCACCAGCUUAUUGAAUUCUUCGAUGGCCUCUUCUGGACUGCCCUCUCCAAAUCUGAUGCAUAGAGCAGUGGAUAAUUCUGACCAGGGAAUAGCCUCCCUUCCAUGAAAAACUCCAUGGAACCAGAUGUCUGCUCUGUCUCUGAAAUAGAGUUCAGCAACCUCAGCCCUCAAAUCCUCCUCUAUCUCAUGUAGUUUGAAAUACUUGUUAGCCUUCCUGAUCCACUCCCUUGGAUUGUCUCCAUCAAAAAUUGGCAGAUCCAUUUUUGGCAAUCUACCAUGGACUCUGGCCUCUCUCCUACUACCUACUUCUUUUGGUGGCUCCAUCCUGGAUUCAUUUGAUCGAUCUUCCCUUUUUGAGCUACUACUGCCUUCUGGUCCCUUCCCCUGGUCACUGAUCUUGGCCACCAACUGAGCCAUCAUGUUCAUCAGGCCCUCAUAUUUCUGAUCCAAUCCUUUCAGUAGCUUUUCAGUAGCAUCCUGUCUAAACUCCAUCGUCCUCAUGGCCUGUUCUACUCCCUCACUUUUGUUGGUAAAGGUCCUGACCACACUCCCUAAUUCCACGACCUCUCUUCUCAGAUUUUCGUCCUGGUUUUUUGUCAUCCCUAUGGCUCGCAACACAGCUCUGAUACCACUGUUGUGGUACAGAACCUAAAAAUGGUGUUUGGUGAGGAAUGUAUGUACUCAAAUGAUAAGAACACGAAUUAUACUCAAGCUGAAUGAAUUCCAGGGACAAUUGAACUUUUAUUGAACAACUUCAACUUGCUUACAGAAAAAGAAAUUGGCGGGAAAAGAAGAAGAUGAGAAAGAAUGCAGGAAGAACUUAAAGAAAGGAUAACAGAAAGGAUAUUCUCCUUCUGAUUACAAUUCAGGAAUUUUCUCUACCAAUAACAAUUGCAUGAUCGUAAUAUUUAUAGUAAUCUAUCCUAACUAACUUGCCCACUAGCUAAUGACAUAGAAAUUGCGUGUGAGUGAAUCUUCUAGAUUCUCCUGUCCACUUGCAGCAAGAAGGACGUGAACCCAGAAUGAGCGUGCUUUCUUGCUCGCGCCUUUGCGGUCUCCUGGCGCCUUCUCCCUUUUUGUUAUCACGCCUUUAUUUACUUCGUGCCCACUUGCUGUCUGAAUUCUUCAAUCCGCGUCUUCUCUUCUUUCCUCUCUGCUUGAUCGCGCUUUCCUUUGUUGCCACUUCACGCCUUUACUCCUUUAUAUCCCUACUUCAUUACACGGUCGCGAUCGCAGUCACGGUCACGGUCACGGUCGCGGUCGCGAGUCUUUGAACCAUGCUUUUGACCCUUGUCCUUCGGCUCUUCUAUGUUCGUUGGAUAAUUUAGGCUUUUCUAUGUUCAUUGGAUAAUUCAUAUAAUAACGUAUUAGUUCCAAGGACAAGCAUGGUCUCCAUCAAUAAGUUUGUUUAGAUCAGGGAAAUUGAAAAUUUGACAAUAACAAGUAAAAAUGGAAAACCUGGUUGAUCAUUCUGUUAGUGUUCUUUUGUGGGGUAUGAAUGAUGAAUUUAAGAUUUCAGAAGUUCAAUUUCACAGCUUCUCUUCAACACUGCUGUACACCAUGAUUGCCCACCUCUGCUGCUCUACAAGAGCAGGUUAGAUAUUCUUUUCAGUCCAUUCUUUCGACGUAGACACAGUCCAUUCUGGUCUAUUUCUAUCGACGUCACAUUAUGAAUUAAGGAGAAAUUACAAUGUUGGCUGUGUUCUGAAGAGAUAAUAAACAGAGUAUUAUAUAUUCCAUACAGUCUACUACUGCAAAUAGGUUUUAUUAGUUUAUCAUGAAAUCCCAACUUAAAGAUCACUGUGAUAAUUGCUAUAUAAAUGAGUGCUUGACACAGGCUCUCAAGUUGAUACAUAAACCACCUUUAGAGAUAUGAUUAAUUGGAAUGAUUCGGUUUCAGAAGUGGUCAAUAAUUUUCUAGUGAAUCAAAAGCUAAUUCAAGUAAAAUGACACAUAUGAUUGCAUCAAGCAUAUGAGUCAUCUCGAAUUAAUUCAAAUUUUUAUUAUUUUUGCUAAUUUUUUAUUAUUUUUGUUUAUCAUUUUUUUUUACAAUUUUUAGAAUAUUAAAUGUUUUAAAAAUUUGCCUUUCAUCGAGAUCGCAAUCGAUAUAUCGAGAUUUAUGUCGAACGAUCCAGGCCACGACUACGACAGUGACCACGGCUUUGAACCAUGGUCACAGUACCAUGAACACUCAACAGACUGUCUUAUCCAAGUACAUCAAACACAUCAAAUACUGAAAAACAAAAUGUACACGAAACUAUUGCUCCAAAAUAAUCAGAGCAAAAACAGAACCCAAGCUCCAAAAGUAACAGAUAUGUCCUUAAAACUGAAAACAAACUUUAAGGAGAUUAGCCAGGAAAACACUAAUGGUAGUAUACCUUGUAGCUACGAACAGGAACCUUUCGGAUGAUUGACCAUAAGAGAUCAAAGUAUAAUGGUAGCUGUGCAAAAGCAAAAAAGGUUAUUGGUAGACAUGCUACAGCAUAGAGGGGAAGUGCUGCACUAUGGAUUUGAUCGCUGAGCAUGAAGAAAUGUCCUGCACAGAACGAGACCAGUACUGCAGAUAUGGAGGUGAAUAGUGAGGUUAAUCCAAAUAAAAGCUUCCUUGGCAAACUCUUUUUGAAGUCCUUUUUCUGGCAUCUUGAGGUAAGGAUAGCUAGAAAAAACACCAGGGCAGUCACAGAGAAGCAGAGAGCAACAAGUGAAGCAACAGAAAAAACAUUGAAUGCAGGUUGUUUUUCGAGAACUGGAUGACCAGACUUUUGAUCAGGACCACCUGGAAUUGUUGAUGAGGUAGCAAAUGCCACUGUUG